CAAUAGCGUAUAUUAAAGUUGUUGCAGUUAAAAAGCUCGUAGUUGAAUUUCUGUCUAGAAGAUCCCGUGCGGCUUCUGUCGUUUACGUGGAUUUUUCUUGACAUUUGUCCAAAGAGCGUUACUGCACUUAAUUGUGUGGUGCGUGAUUCGGAACCUUUACUUUGAGAAAAUUAGAGUGUUUCAAGCAAGCUUGCGUCUUGAAUACUGCAGCAUGGAAUAAUACGAUAAGACUUACGUCUUAUUUUGUUGGUUUCUAAGACUAAGUAAUGAUUGAUAGGGACAGUUAGGGGCAUUCGUAUUUAACUGUCAGAGGUGAAAUUCUUGGAUUUGUUAAAGACGAACUACUGCGAAAGCAUUUGCCAGGGAUGUUCUU
Molecule: ribosomal RNA, 373 nt
Filed under: uncultured eukaryote
Lineage: Eukaryota
Description: bacterial SSU rRNA
Rfam family: Eukaryotic small subunit ribosomal RNA
Source: RNAcentral